RNAcentral lists this long non-coding RNA (342 nucleotides) under Brassica rapa (field mustard). RNAcentral describes it as "long non-coding RNA (BRAP_LNC008607)". Lineage: Eukaryota; Viridiplantae; Streptophyta; Magnoliopsida; Brassicales; Brassicaceae. The record is from RNAcentral.
UCAACUCUAGUCAUCCUUUCCCCAAGGUCUUGCCGCAUAACCCUCAUCUCUUCUCUCAAAGCGUUGAGGACUUGCAUCAUGGUAGCUUGCUCACUCGCUUCUCCCAUGUAUGCGGUUGAGUUGUACCUUGCAAGAUAAACAAGAGAUGCCUUAGCUUUUCAAUAGGUAAAUAAGAAAGAAAACGAGAAAGAAAAGAUACAAAUUUCCUUUUUUUUUUUUUAUAAAUUCGAAUAGGCAAAGACAAUAAUAAAAGCUGUAGUAGAAUUAAAAUUGGAAAGACUUGGAGAAAGUGAUCGACCGGGAAGGAAAUAAUUUGAAAACUCUUUGCAAAUAUGGAAAUCG